Molecule: long non-coding RNA, 390 nt
Organism: Vicia villosa (hairy vetch)
Lineage: Eukaryota; Viridiplantae; Streptophyta; Magnoliopsida; Fabales; Fabaceae
Exons: 2
Source: RefSeq, a predicted model, not a curated record
AGUCAAGUGUGCUCAUUACACGAAACUUCAGUUGGAAGAAAUCAAAGAGGAAUUGUGUCAAUAUUUUAUUGCGCAAAGAAUCAUAUAAGGGGCAGUUCAUGAUUGGUGUAGCAGGGCAUUGGUUGAAUUGAGAUAUGGCUAAGCUUGAAGUGAGGAUAAGCAAGAUGGAAUCAAAAGGUUUUAUUGAACAUGGCUUGGAAUGAUGAGAAUGAUGUUGGAACAUGUAGAAUAGGUGGGAUUAGUUUAGUUGUUUAGGGAUGAUUUUCUUAUUGUUAUAAUGUAAUGUGAAUUGGUUUAGUUGUUUUGGUCAUGUUAGAAAUAUGUGAAUCGGUGUAUAUAUAUUUUGGAUUAAUUACAGUGGUAUAUAAUGUAAUGGUAUAAUUUAUAAUG